UAUAGGUAGUGGCGAACGGGUGCGUAACACGUGAGUAACCUGCCCCAUAGUUUGGAAUAACACCGGGAAACCGAUGCUAAUACCAAAUAUGCUCGCACUAGCACAAGCUAGAGCAAGGAAAGAUUUAUCGCUUUGGGAGGGGCUCGCGGCCUAUCAGCUUGUUGGUGAGGUAACGGCUCACCAAGGCUUCGACGGGUAGCUGGUCUGAGAGGACGAUCAGCCACACUGGGACUGAGACACGGCCCAGACUCCUACGGGAGGCAGCAGUGGGGAAUAUUGCGCAAUGGGCGAAAGCCUGACGCAGCAACGCCGCGUGGAGGAUGAAGGCUCUAGGGUCGUAAACUCCUUUCAGCAGGAAAGAAAAUGACGGUACCUGCAGAAGAAGCUCCGGCCAACUACGUG
RNAcentral lists this ribosomal RNA (402 nucleotides) under uncultured bacterium. RNAcentral describes it as "bacterial SSU rRNA". It matches the Rfam family "Bacterial small subunit ribosomal RNA", at positions 87 to 507 of the family's 1533-position model. The record is from RNAcentral.